Small nuclear RNA from Hyla sarda, 186 nucleotides. RefSeq annotates it as U2 spliceosomal RNA. NCBI's taxonomy places the organism in Eukaryota, Metazoa, Chordata, Amphibia, Anura, Hylidae. The transcript has a single exon. The record is from RefSeq and is a predicted model, not a curated record.
AUCGCUUCUCUGCCUUUUGCCUAAGAUCAAGUGUAGUAUCUGUUCUUAUCAGUUUCAUGCCAGUGGGGAGACGGGCUGGUGGGGAUGGGUGCUGCAUGGAGGGGGCAGAUGUAAAAGGGCUUUCCGGGGCUGUUUCUGAUGAAUUCUCUCUUAUCAGAGAAAGACUUUUGAUAGACCGCAUCCUUU